This 212-nucleotide long non-coding RNA is filed under the name Mytilus galloprovincialis (Mediterranean mussel). The record is from RNAcentral. Lineage: Eukaryota; Metazoa; Mollusca; Bivalvia; Mytilida; Mytilidae.
CAACUAUUAUCAAACUCUUAUUGAUGAUAAAAUAAAUAACUUAAAUGAAAAUAAUAAAAUAUAUCUAUAUAAAUUUCUUAAAUCUAAUAUAAAUAACCAAAUGCAAUACUACCUAUCACACCCAAGUAAAGAGACAAGAAAAAUGUUAACCAAAUUUAGAAUAAGCGAUCAUUGUCUCUUCAUAGAAACUGGACGAUAUACCAAAAUACCAC